CGAAAGCCUGACGGAGCAAUACCGCGUGAGGGAGGAAGGCUCUUGGGUCGUAAACCUCUUUUCUCAGGGAAGAACACAAUGACGGUACCUGAGGAAUAAGCAUCGGCUAACUCCGUGCCAGCAGCCGCGGUAAUACGGAGGAUGCAAGCGUUAUCCGGAAUGAUUGGGCGUAAAGCGUCCGCAGGUGGCGAAGUAAGUCUGCUGUUAAAGCGUCUAGCUCAACUAGAUAAGAGCAAUGGAAACUACUUACGCUAGAGUGCGUUCGGGGCAGAGGGAAUUCCUGGUGUAGCGGUGAAAUGCGUAGAGAUCAGGAAGGACACCAGUGGCGAAGGCGCUCUGCUAGGCCGCAACUGACACUGAGGGACGAAAG
Molecule: ribosomal RNA, 370 nt
Filed under: uncultured cyanobacterium
Lineage: Bacteria; Bacillati; Cyanobacteriota
Description: bacterial SSU rRNA
Rfam family: Bacterial small subunit ribosomal RNA
Source: RNAcentral